This 73-nucleotide transfer RNA is filed under the name Spirochaetales bacterium. RNAcentral describes it as "tRNA-His". It matches the Rfam family "tRNA". Rfam says of the family: Transfer RNA (tRNA) molecules are approximately 80 nucleotides in length. Their secondary structure includes four short double-helical elements and three loops (D, anti-codon, and T loops). Further hydrogen bonds mediate the characteristic L-shaped molecular structure. tRNAs have two regions of fundamental functional importance: the anti-codon, which is responsible for specific mRNA codon recognition, and the 3' end, to which the tRNAs corresponding amino acid is attached (by aminoacyl-tRNA synthetases). tRNAs cope with the degeneracy of the genetic code in two manners: having more than one tRNA (with a specific anti-codon) for a particular amino acid; and 'wobble' base-pairing, i.e. permitting non-standard base-pairing at the 3rd anti-codon position. RNAcentral also lists the same sequence under 2 other names. The record is from RNAcentral. Lineage: Bacteria; Pseudomonadati; Spirochaetota; Spirochaetia; Spirochaetales.
GUGGAUGUAGUUCAAUUGGUAGAGCGCCAGAUUGUGGGUCUGGUUGUUGCGGGUUCAAGUCCCGUCAUCCACC